CCUACGGGUGGCAGCAGUGGGGAAUAUUGCGCAAUGGGCGAAAGCCUGACGCAGCGACGCCGCGUGAGGGAUGAAGGUCUUCGGAUCGUAAACCUCUGUCAGCAGGGAAGAACGGUCACUGUGCUAAUCAGCAGUGAAUUGACGGUACCUGCAAAGGAAGCACCGGCUAACUCCGUGCCAGCAGCCGCGGUAAUACGGAGGGUGCGAGCGUUAAUCGGAAUUAAUGGGCGUAAAGCGCUCGUAGGCCGUACGUCAAGUCAAGGGUGAAAUGCCCGGGCUCAACGUGGGAACUGCCUUUGAAACUGGCAAACUGGAGUGUGUGAGAGGAUAGUGGAAUUCCAGGUGUAGGAGUGAAAUCCGUAGAUAUCUGGAGGAACAUCAGUGGCGAAGGCGACUAUCUGGCACAUAACUGACGCUGAGGAGCGAAAGCGUGGGUAGCAAACAGGAUUAGAUACCCUUGUAGUC
Molecule: ribosomal RNA, 465 nt
Filed under: uncultured bacterium
Lineage: Bacteria
Description: partial 16S ribosomal RNA
Rfam family: Bacterial small subunit ribosomal RNA
Source: RNAcentral